Molecule: ribosomal RNA, 253 nt
Filed under: uncultured bacterium
Lineage: Bacteria
Description: partial 16S ribosomal RNA
Rfam family: Bacterial small subunit ribosomal RNA
Source: RNAcentral
UACGUAGGGGGCAAGCGUUGUCCGGAUUUAUUGGGCGUAAAGAGCGUGUAGGCGGCCAGGUAGGUCAGCUGUGAAAACUCGAGGCUCAACCUCGAGAUGUCGGCUGAAACCAUCUGGCUAGAGUCCGGAAGAGGAGAAUGGAAUUCCAGGUGUAGCGGUGAAAUGCGUAGAUAUCUGGAGGAAUACCGGUGGCGAAGGCGGCAUCCUGGACCGAGAUUGACACUGAUGAGCGAAAGCCAGGGGAGCAAACGGG